This 120-nucleotide transfer RNA is filed under the name Candidatus Woesearchaeota archaeon. Its description in RNAcentral is "tRNA-Val". Lineage: Archaea; Nanobdellati; Candidatus Woesearchaeota. The record is from RNAcentral.
GGGCCUGUGGUCUAGCGGUCACAGUUUUUUGGUCAAGCUUUUUGCUUUCAAAAAGGUUGCCGUACAUGACGACACCCUUACAAGGUGUAGGUCACCAGUUCGAACGUCUGGUCGGGCCCA